Molecule: long non-coding RNA, 2641 nt
Organism: Carassius auratus (goldfish)
Lineage: Eukaryota; Metazoa; Chordata; Actinopteri; Cypriniformes; Cyprinidae
Exons: 4
Source: RefSeq, a predicted model, not a curated record
UAAUAGAAAACUGCUUUCGGUUUUUCUCUGGCGCCAAGGGAACUGUACAACUUUUCUCUUUAGGUUAAACGAGUUCGGUUAAACAUCUAAAUUUUACGAUUGCAUGUUAGAUGCGGUAUAUUAAGCGUUAAAAAGUACCUGGCUGAUCGGCAUUUCAUUUUAAUUCGCGGAUCAAGGUCUGUUAUCAGACACGAUGAGCAGCUUUGAGGCCCAGUUUGUGGAUGGCCACUUCGCUGAGCUUGUUCAGAGGGUUACCUCAGUGAUGGCAAUAGCAGAUGAACUAAAGAAUAAGAAAAUGAUACAUAAUGAAAAAUAUUCAGAGAUUAGAGCAGAAAAAACAGACCAGGGCAAAAUGAGAAAGCUCUUUGAAGCACUAAAUGCUGGAGGAGACAGAGUGAAAAAUGACUUCUAUUAUGCUCUGAGAAAUCAUGAACCAUACCUCUUCAAAGAGCUGGGAGGUGGUGAAGCGAUCGAUUACAUCGAUGGCCACCAGAACAACCAGCUACAGUUAAACUGAAGACCAAAGACCUCUGCAACCAAGACACGCAAACAGACAUCACUUGGAAAAUAAGAUGCAGCUGAAGAUGAAGAAAAUUCACACAUUUGAAAAUUGUCACCAGUUAUUCUCCCUAAUGUCACUGAAAACCCACCUUUUCCCAUAAUUACUUUGUGUUCAAUAUGAAUAUAUAUAUAUAUAUGUGUGUGUGUGUGUGUGUGUGUGUGACCAUGGACCACAAAACCAGUUUUCAAAAUUGAGAUGAAUAAAUAAGCUUUCCAAUGACGUAUGGUGUAUUGGGGUCGGACAAUAUUUAAAUACUGAGAAAAUCUCCUUUAAAUUUGUCCAAAUUAAUUCUUAGCAAUGCAUAUUACUACUCAAAAAUUAAGUUUUUAUAUAUUAACAAUAGGAAAUGUACAAAUAAUCUUCAUGGAACAUGAUCUUUACUCAUUAUCCCAAUGAUUUUUGGCCUAUUUUUUUUAUUUUUAUUUUUUUUAUAAUUUUUACCCAUACCAUGUAUUUUUGGCUAUUGCUAUAAAUAUACCCCAGAGACUUAAGACUGGUUUUAUGGUCCAGGGUCACAGGGUUUUCCUUUUGUAGGCAAAAUUUUUUAACCUUUUUAUGCAGUUUUUUAAUGCUAAAAUCACAAUAGUUUAUACAUCAUCAUCCAUAGCUAUUUAACCAAAUCGUUAUAUUAUAUUUUUGAAUUAAAAAAAUAAAAUAAAAUUUGAUUGCAGUGCUUGCAAAUAUCAUGAUAUUCUGUUACACUGCAGAUUAUACAUUGUAGGUUUUUUCUCUCCAAAUACAGGUGUUGAACUUGUGUUAUAUAUAUACACCUACUUUUUUUUUUUUAAGUACACCCACUUUUUAAUACAUUUAUGAUUACAUUUAAAUCAAGGAAACUCACAUUGACUUGCUUAAGUGAUGUCAUAGUUCUUGUGAAUGGUCAUAUACUUUCUUUUAAGUAAUUUAGAGCUGCAUUUGUAAAGUUGAAUGCAUUUAUAUUCUUCAUUUUCUUUCAAACUGCGUUCAAAUAAUGUGCUUCUCUUUUCACUGGAUUCCCUUCUCAUUGAUAAAUUGAUAGCUUUGUGAAUUGGUUUACACAUUUCAUUUUUAAUUAUUGCAUUACGUUUUCUUACCUGCCAAAUAAUUUAAUUUGAUUAUUCUGGAUACUGAUAUGUCAAAAGAUUGCAAGGUGUCUGAUGUUACUGUACUUAAGAUCUAUCCCCAAGGUUUGAGCAUGAGUCCAUGAUUUGAACGGAGCAAAAAAACAUUUCAGAGGACUUUUUCAUUACUUCGGAACCGCAUACUAGCAUAGCCUGUAGGCCUGUGCUCUUAUAUAAAAUAUAUUUCUAGGGCAGGAAUGAUAAGGGAAGUUAUUGUGUGGAUUUGAAUUCUGCAUUUGUCUUUCUUCUCACUUGAAUGGAUGUAGCUAUAGAACUAGCUUCAGCUACUUAUAAGCAAACAGUAGUUCUGAUAACUGGUAAGAGAGGUGAACUGCGAGGUUGGUUAGUUCUAUAGGGGGAGAUCGGGCUGGUUGUAACAUUUUUAACAUUUCUGUGUGUAUCUUGGAGUUCUUCUAAGCCAGUGCAUUCAAAAUGUGAUUCAAACUUGUUACAAGUGUCUGCUUAUUAAAUGCUGUAGAUGUUAGUCUUCUAAAAAAACAACCAGCCCAAACUUGCCUGGACACACCCAAUUUGCACAAAUUUCUCAAAUACAGAACCAGAAAACCACUUGAUCUUCAUUUCUUGAGAUGCAGUCUGAUACCAUGACUGAAAAAAUUUAGUGACCAUAAUAUCUUAAAGGAAUCUUCAGUUUAUUUAGAAUAAAUUAGUGUUAGCUGGGAUGGUUGACUGAAUCUGGAGAGUUUUAGAGUUUAGGCUGCUGUUGUUCUGCCUUGUGCAUGUUUACAGAAAAAUGGCUGAAGCCAGUAUUUCAUGGGAUGAGGAUCGGGUCAUCUGUACAAUCUGUCUGGAUCUACUGAAGGAUCCAGUGACCAUUCCCUGUGGACACAGCUACUGUAUGAAGUGUAUUACAGGUUACUGGGAUCACGAUGAUCAGAAGAGAGUCUACAGCUGCCCUCAAUGCAGACAAACCUUCACUCCAAGCCCUUUGUUAGGUAAAGACAAGAGGACUGAAAAACAG